RNAcentral lists this ribosomal RNA (492 nucleotides) under uncultured bacterium. RNAcentral's name for it is "bacterial SSU rRNA". It matches the Rfam family "Bacterial small subunit ribosomal RNA", at positions 903 to 1397 of the family's 1533-position model. The record is from RNAcentral.
AAAUGAAUAGACGGGGGCCCGCACAAGCGGAGGAACAUGUGGUUUAAUUCGAUGAUACGCGAGGAACCUUACCCGGGCUUAAAUUGCAAAUGAAUUAUGGGGAAACCCAUACGCCGCAAGGCAUUUGUGAAGGUGCUGCAUGGUUGUCGUCAGCUCGUGCCGUGAGGUGUCGGCUUAAGUGCCAUAACGAGCGCAACCCUUAUCUUCAGUUACUAACAGGUCAUGCUGAGGACUCUGGAGAGACUGCCGUCGUAAGAUGUGAGGAAGGUGGGGAUGACGUCAAAUCAGCACGGCCCUUACGUCCGGGGCUACACACGUGUUACAAUGGGGGGUACAGAAGGCCGCUACCUGGUGACAGGAUGCCAAUCCCAAAAACCUCUCUCAGUUCGGAUCGAAGUCUGCAACCCGACUUCGUGAAGCUGGAUUCGCUAGUAAUCGCGCAUCAGCCAUGGCGCGGUGAAUACGUUCCCGGGCCUUGUACACACCGCCCGU